CCGCACUAACCGGGGAGUUAGCGGUGCCCUGUACCUGCAACCCGCUUUAGCAGGGGUGAAUUCCGUUUAUGCGGUUAUGCGGUGUGCAGUCCGGGUUAUAUAAGUGGCGAUGAGAGACCGGUCCUGCGCAACGCCGAGCCGUGAACCAUGUCAGGCGGGGAACCGAGCAGCAUUAAGCGGUUUGUCGGCGUGUGCCGCGGGUGUGCCGAUUUCGAGUUAACUGUAUAAAUUCCGUGCAUAUCGUUUAAUCAAGUAACGGUGUGCGG
This 266-nucleotide signal recognition particle RNA is filed under the name Clostridiales bacterium. Its description in RNAcentral is "signal recognition particle sRNA large type". It matches the Rfam family "Bacterial large signal recognition particle RNA". Rfam says of the family: The signal recognition particle (SRP) is a universally conserved ribonucleoprotein involved in the co-translational targeting of proteins to membranes. The record is from RNAcentral. Lineage: Bacteria; Bacillati; Bacillota; Clostridia; Eubacteriales.